ACGUUCAGGUAAUCGCUGCAUCGCUUCGAUGUAGAGGAAAGUCCAUGCUCGCACGAUCUGAGAUGAUCGUAGUGUUCGUGCUCAGUGAAAAAAUAAACUGAGGUAGUUCGGCUAAUGCUGAACUAACGGCAGGGAAAGCACCUACGUCUUUUAGAUAUGGUGUGAAUACCUUGAAAGUGCCACAGUGACGUAGUUCUCUUGGAAACGAGAGAAGUGGAACGAGGUAAACCCCACGAGCGAGAAACCCAAACUAUGGUAGGGGAACCUUCUCAACGGAAUUCAACGGAGAGAAGGACGAAUGACGAUUCAUUCGUAGAUAAAUGAUUGCCGCCGGAGUACGAGGUUCGCACCGUUUGCAGUACGAAGGUACAAAACAUGGCUUAUCGAA
RNAcentral lists this RNase P RNA (388 nucleotides) under Bacillus taeanensis. Its description in RNAcentral is "Bacterial RNase P class B". It matches the Rfam family "Bacterial RNase P class B". Rfam says of the family: Ribonuclease P (RNase P) is a ubiquitous endoribonuclease, found in archaea, bacteria and eukarya as well as chloroplasts and mitochondria. Its best characterised activity is the generation of mature 5'-ends of tRNAs by cleaving the 5'-leader elements of precursor-tRNAs. Lineage: Bacteria; Bacillati; Bacillota; Bacilli; Caryophanales; Bacillaceae. The record is from Rfam by way of RNAcentral.